AACUUAAGUAGUUUAUUUAGAAUAAUAAUUUGUGGGGUUAUAGGUGUAUUUUAUCUUAAGUUU
RNAcentral lists this transfer RNA (63 nucleotides) under Inara alboguttata. RNAcentral's name for it is "tRNA-His". Lineage: Eukaryota; Metazoa; Arthropoda; Insecta; Hemiptera; Reduviidae. The record is from RNAcentral.